GGGGUUGUGGCUCAGUGGUAGAGCGCUUGCCUAGCACGUGCAAGGCCCUGGGUUCAAUCCUCAGCACCA
This 69-nucleotide transfer RNA is filed under the name Urocitellus parryii (Arctic ground squirrel). Its description in RNAcentral is "Spermophilus parryii (Arctic ground squirrel) tRNA". It matches the Rfam family "tRNA". From Rfam's summary of the family: Transfer RNA (tRNA) molecules are approximately 80 nucleotides in length. Their secondary structure includes four short double-helical elements and three loops (D, anti-codon, and T loops). RNAcentral also lists the same sequence under 2 other names. The record is from Rfam by way of RNAcentral. Lineage: Eukaryota; Metazoa; Chordata; Mammalia; Rodentia; Sciuridae.